AGCUGAGUAAUUUUAUCUCAGUUGUGCAUAUGGCAAAAAUAAGUAACUGGAUAUCAGAGAAAGUGCGAAUGGGCUGCAAAAACCCUGAAAGGGGCCGGCUCAUGUAGAAUGCAUUCUUUUCCAGCAACGAAGGCCUGUGCAGGAGUCCUUGAGGAACACCCAGAUUUUUCAGAGCAUCAGAAACCAUGUGUCAGUGUGGUGAAUGCAUCCUCUCCUGGAGAACAGAGAGAGAUUCCACAGAGGGCACCUGAUUGCAGCAAAUGUGAAGGACAGCAUUUGACCCUGCUAAGAAAAGAAAGAAAGAAAUGAGAAAAAUAAAAAGAGAAAAGUUAUUAGACACGCUAUCACCAAACUUCAAAUUCUCAUCAAUUGAAGGAUGUGUUCAAGUAUUUGUUUGUAUGUGAGUGUGAGCAAUAUUAACUCAUCCCAGAAGGACCCCAAAAU
Molecule: long non-coding RNA, 444 nt
Filed under: Chinchilla lanigera (long-tailed chinchilla)
Lineage: Eukaryota; Metazoa; Chordata; Mammalia; Rodentia; Chinchillidae
Description: lncRNA (ENSCLAG00000022460.1)
Source: RNAcentral